AAAACCUGGCUGACAUUUGAUAGGAAUACUGUGAGCUUCCUGAAAUUUACAUUCCCAACCAGCCCCGGCAAUACUAAAGCCAAUUCUCUUUUCAGGGGUAAUAAUCAUAAUCAUCACAAUAAUAAAGUAAUAAUAAUAAUUUUCUUUGCAAUUCAGAUCAUGACAGAAAACUUGCCAGAACAGUUACAAAACCUUGCAGAAUUGAUGACAUUAAGGAAAUUUAUUUGGCAAGGAAGUUGAGACUAUGUCAAGAGGAGAAUAAGAUGCGAACAGAUGUUCAACAACUGAAGUUGAGAGACAGUCAAGGAUAGUAGAUUGCAUCCUGAGUGAUACUGAAGGGUUGUCAGUGAAUAUACACAUGAUAACAUGUCGAGGACAUCAAAUGACUCUCCCUGACUCUCCCAGUGCCAGAAGCCUCUUUUUGACAAAGCUGCAUUGCAUUUGGAGGAACAGUGAGGAAGUACCUUACCAGUCAAUCUCUCCUGGGACAUGGUACAUUCACAUGAAGACAGUUUGUUCAUUUGAGGUGCCCAUGGCUUGAAGUUGACUUGAUAUUGCCUGGAUGGUUUCUGUAGCUUUAGUCACUCAAUACAGUUAAAGGCUCACUAAAAAUCUGAAUCUUGACCAUCGGACUAUACUUUUCUUUUCCAAACUCUGCCAGUGCACAGAGAACAACCCUAGAGCCACAGGAUUUCUGCAGCUCAGGGGACAUGUUCAGUCCAGGGACCAAGUGAAGGCUCAAAAUCCACGUCUCUGUUGUAGUGGAAAAGCUUAUAUCCUUUCUAUGUGCUUAAUGUUAUGAUACAGACCUUGUGGUACUUUCCUUAAUGAUAGUAUAUAUGAUAGAUAGAUUAUUACAACGGCUCUAGGAAUAAUCAAAGUUUCAAUUACUUCUCCUAGCUUAUGUUUUUGCAGUUUUUAAAUUUUGUGAAUUGGAAAUAGUUAAGACAGCUCUCACUUUAAUUUAUAGUCUUGGCUUUGUGCUCUGCAGUAGGCACUGAGACUGAAAAACAAUUCUGAAAAAAUAGACAAGGAGCUUAAUUUGCUAAUGAUUAAUUAAAAUAUAUAUAGGAGAAAAAAGGAAAAAAAGUCACAAAAAUAUUGUUGUAUGUCUUGUUAUGGCUGAAACUGCGUCUUAAUAAACUGUAGAUUUUAUGCAUAGUUAACCUGUUCACACCCAGGCAAUUGCUGUAGGAAAAAAAGAAGUUAAAACAUUACUAUAGGUUCCAGUUUUUCAAUGUCCUGAAUUAUUAGUGGAAGCUAAAGAAGAAUGAAAAACUGAGCCCCAGAAGGUGAUGAAUAUUUCUAUGAGAAGUGCUAAGCAAUUGGAAUAAAUCAUUAUGAAAAGUGGGGAACAUGUGAGACAGGCAACAAAUAACUGGAGGGCACUUUUUUGUUACCAGUCUGUAUUAAAGUCUGUUUGUAACCAUGGCAACUGGAAGUCCACAUUUACAGCAUUGCUAUCAACAAAUAUUGAAGAGUAACUUACAGCACUUUUCACAUUCAAGCAAUAUUAGCUGCUUUCCCCACUGUGCCCAACACAUAUGUCCUCUGACCCCAGGCUUCUUCCUUCACAGGACAAUCCACAGUAGGGCCAGUUAGGCCCUGCAAGUCUGCGUUGCUCCCUCUUUCAAGUGGACUGGCACACAGCAUUCCUUUUUUCUCAUUAUUAAACCUUUGUCAAUGAUAAUUUUUAAGUUUUACAAGGUGGGCCAGCUAUCCCACAGGGGACAUAAAAAUAACUCUGAUUUAGCAAAGAGGCAUUGUCAUGUAGGAAUGCAGUAAACAGUGUGAUAAUCAAAGAUCUAAUGAUGCACUGAAAUUUUUAUGCACACCUACUCUUAAACACCAUAUCAAAGCAUUCUGGAACGCUUUGGAACAAAUAUUUUGAAAUAAACUUAAGACAAAAAUCA
Pipra filicauda (Wire-tailed manakin) is the source of this 1913-nucleotide long non-coding RNA. RefSeq lists it as uncharacterized. The transcript is spliced from 2 exons. NCBI's taxonomy places the organism in Eukaryota, Metazoa, Chordata, Aves, Passeriformes, Pipridae. The record is from RefSeq and is a predicted model, not a curated record.